GCAGGGAUGGCAGAACGGUCAUGCACCCGCCUGCAGAGCGGGUUAAGAGGGUUCAACUCCCUCUCCUUGCU
RNAcentral lists this transfer RNA (71 nucleotides) under uncultured archaeon. RNAcentral's name for it is "tRNA-Cys(gca)". It matches the Rfam family "tRNA". Rfam says of the family: Transfer RNA (tRNA) molecules are approximately 80 nucleotides in length. Their secondary structure includes four short double-helical elements and three loops (D, anti-codon, and T loops). The record is from RNAcentral.